Non-coding RNA from Lipotes vexillifer (Yangtze River dolphin), 503 nucleotides. The record is from the annotation of a RefSeq genome assembly. NCBI's taxonomy places the organism in Eukaryota, Metazoa, Chordata, Mammalia, Artiodactyla, Lipotidae.
AUGGCAGCCAGGGCCGGGGUUCGGAGGAAACCAACCUUGACCCAGAAAGAACAGGCCCGGGUAGAACUGGGAGAAAGGCAAGGGAGGAAAGUGCGGGCCGCGACGCCGCAGGAGUCUCGGAAUCAGAUUCAAGUGUCGGGUCUUCAGGGAAAUAAAGGGAUAGAUAAAAAUUCAAAUCAAACUGAACUUCUCAAGAGCCCUGAUCCUACCCUGUACCAGCAGAGAGGCCCGAAAUCCAGCAACACCUCCAUCUACCUCUUCACUGAUUUUGAUUCUCACACUAAACGCAGCAGGCCCCUGGCCUGGAGCAGCAACAAAAGCACCUCCAAGCAGGGCUACUCCAGCUCUGGAAGUCCCUGUGAUGCCAAGUUGAUAAAGAAAAACUUUGCAACAGAUAUGAACCUAAACUUCCCAAACCUGUCAGUGAUUGGGCUCUGCAUCCUCUCCUGCUGACAGUGGCCAGGCUUAACCUGCUCCUGACGCCAUGGCUGUGGUCCAGCUGA